Molecule: ribosomal RNA, 141 nt
Filed under: uncultured bacterium
Lineage: Bacteria
Description: partial 16S rRNA
Rfam family: Bacterial small subunit ribosomal RNA
Source: RNAcentral
UGGGGAAUAUUGGACAAUGGGCGAAAGCCUGAUCCAGCAAUGCCGCGUGUGUGAAGAAGGUCUUCGGAUUGUAAAGCACUUUCGACGGGGACGAUGAUGACGGUACCCGUAGAAGAAGCCCCCGGCUAACUUCGUGCCUAG